RNAcentral lists this long non-coding RNA (2417 nucleotides) under Felis catus (domestic cat). RNAcentral describes it as "lncRNA (ENSFCAG00000046810.1)". Lineage: Eukaryota; Metazoa; Chordata; Mammalia; Carnivora; Felidae. The record is from RNAcentral.
AAAAACCAAUUCGGUGAGAGCCUCGGCGCAGGAAGCUCAGUCCGCCCCCGUCUGUCCCGCCCCUCCUCGCACAGCAGACGUUUGUUUGGUUUUCGGCUCCGCCCGCCUUUCUGAAGAGAAAGUGAGGAGGCAAAUUCGCUGUUUUCUCAGUCCUCCUCCUCCCGCCCCCUCGAGUCACGUGAUCCAUUUGGUCCGGCCUUUCCGCACCCGACUUCAACCCUUGACCACAGGAGCCAGCUGCGGCACCUGCCGGGGUGUUGUAUCACAGUGCCUUCAGUUUGUUACCGGCUGGGCAAUAUUUUCAAUUCUUUUUAAACGUUGAUUCAUUUCUGAGAGAGAGAAAGAGAGCAAGCUGGGGUGGGGCAGAGAGAGAGGGAGACACAGAACCUGAAACAGGCUCUAGGCUCCGGAGCUGUCAGCACAGAGAUGAUGACCUGAGCCUAAGUCGGAUGCUUAACCCACUGAGCCACCCGGGCACCGGUGGGCAAUUUCUGAAUUCCGCUUUGUCCUUCCACCUGGAUGAGUUUCUUCCUCCGCAGGUCAAAAAAGGCCCCUUCAAGCUUAUUCGUUUGUUCAGCAAAUACUAUUAUGUAUCUGGAACUCUAUUGUGGGCUGGAUUUACGAAGAUGAACGUGGCAGUUUUUUUUAGGUAUCUAUGAAAGUCUGGCCCCUGCUUGCUGAAUUCUUCCAAAAGCACUGGAUUUUUGUCAACAGGAUUGGAUGUUGCUGGAGUUGUGAGAUGUCUCAGCUCUGGAGAUUAUGUUAUUACUGUCAUUCUUCUCCCAGGUACCAUAUUUAGGAUUUUUAGGCCUAUUUAUAAACCACUGACUCCUUGUUUACACUGGCUGGUGCCUACCGCAGAAGAAAUACUUGUUGACUGACUUUCUUAGUCCAUUCAUUAAAACUGGCUUAUUAACCUUCUUCCCAGAGCACUGCCAGCAAAUGUGUGAGCUCUUCCAUUUCAGGCAUCAGCAACUCUGCUUUACUGGAAGGACUCUUACAGUUCAGCUUUAAAAUAGUAUUGAUAAUAUUUUAGUUGCCCUGUUGAAUUUACCAUUAUAACAUUCACUGUAAUUUGUCAUACUUACUAUGUGGGCUAUGCAUUUAUAUACAGUUACACACAAUGGUACAUAGGGGCUCACACUCAAUAUAUGUGUCUGUCAGAACAAAAUACUUUAGAAAAUUCUAUAUAGUAUUCUUCCUAAUCCAUAUCUAUAUUGCUGUACAGAGUUUAAUAUAGUUAAAGGUUAUAGACUAGUGGGGCACCUGGGUGGCUCAGUCGGUUAAGUGUCCAGCUCUCGAUUUCAGUUCAGGUCUUGAUCUCAGGGUUGUAAGUUCAAGCCCUGCAUUGGGCUCCAUACUGGGCAUGAAGCCUACUUAAGUAAAAAAAAAAAAAAAAAAAGGUUAUAGACGAGAUUAUAUUAGGCCCGAGUUAAAUUUUAUGGCUGAAAACAAUUAAAGAAGCAGGUCACCCUGACACCACAUGUAUUUAUUUUAUGUCUGCCAGAGGAGGUGAAGAGGUUCUUAAUCUUUUUUUAUGCCAUGGACUUCAUUAGCAGUCUGGUGAAGGUUUUGCAGCCCUUCUCAGAGUAAUCUUUCUGAAUGCAUGAACUACAUAGAGGGUUACAUUUUAAACAGUUUCAUUGGAACACAAUUCUAUCCUGGGGUCCCAGCUUCAAACCUCUGAAGCUCUAUGGGUACUUAGUUUCCUCAGGCUGCCACAACAAAAUAUCAUAGACUAGGUGGUUUAAACAAUAGAAAUUUAUUUUCUCACAGUUCUGGAAGCCAGCAAAUUUGGUUUCUUGUGAGGGUUCUGUUCCUGGCUUGUAGAUGACCAUCAUCUUUCUGUAUCUUCACGUGGCCUUUCGUGUGUGUGUGUGUGUGUGUGUGUGUGUGUGUGUGUGUGUGUGCAUGCACGCGCGCGCGCACACACACACACUCGUGCAUGGGUAGGGAGGGAGAGAGCACAUCUCUGGUGUCUCUGUCUCUGCUUGUAAGGACAUUAAUCCUAUUGGAUUAGGGUCCUACCCUUAUAUCCUCACUUCCUUAGAGGCCCCAUCCCCAAACACAACCACACUGGGAGUUAGGGCUUCAAUAUAUGAAUCUGGGGGCGGGGGCGGGGUAACAAACGUUCAGUUCAAAAUAGUACUACAGGAAGUUAACAAUAGUCCCCACGUCCAUUCUCAGAAGCUCUCAGAGAUUAAAGUUUGAGGACUCUGAGAAAUGGAAGAAUUUAGAAUCUAGGGAUUCUAGUAGAUGAAAGCUACCUAAGCAACCCCAAGAAUACUGAAAAUUAAAUGCUGUUUUUACAUGUGUUUUGAUACUAUCAUGGUUGUAACUUAACUUGAUCAAAGCAUUUUUGCUGGAGUUAGUCUCAGAAUAGUCUCAGAAUUUAGAGGACAGAAUAAAGAAGUAUG